Molecule: ribosomal RNA, 230 nt
Filed under: uncultured bacterium
Lineage: Bacteria
Description: partial 16S ribosomal RNA
Rfam family: Bacterial small subunit ribosomal RNA
Source: RNAcentral
AAAGCGUGCGCAGGCGGUUAUGCAAGACAGAGGUGAAAUCCCCGGGCUCAACCUGGGAACUGCCUUUGUGACUGCAUAGCUAGAGUACGGUAGAGGGGGAUGGAAUUCCGCGUGUAGCAGUGAAAUGCGUAGAUAUGCGGAGGAACACCGAUGGCGAAGGCAAUCCCCUGGACCUGUACUGACGCUCAUGCACGAAAGCGUGGGGAGCAAACAGGAUUAGAUACCCGUGU